UAGUCAACCUACCCUAUGGACGAGAAUAAUCUCGGGAAACUGAGCAUAAUUCUUGAUAGAUCAUAAUGCCUGGAAUGGUUUAUGGUUAAAAUGACUCGUCGCCAUAGGAUGGGACUGCGGCCUAUCAGCUUGUUGGUGAGGUAAUGGCCCACCAAGGCGAUUACAGGUACGGGCUCUGAGAGGAGAAGCCCGGAGAUGGGUACUGAGACACGGACCCAGGCCCUAUGGGGCGCAGCAGGCGAGAAAACUUUGCAAUGUGCGAAAGCACGACAAGGUUAAUCCGAGUGAUUUCUGCUAAAGAAAUCUUUUGCCAGUCGUAAAACCGCUGGUGAAUAAGGGGUGGGCAAGUUCUGGUGUCAGCCGCCGCGGUAAAACCAGCACCUCAAGUGGUCAGGAUGAUUAUUGGGCCUAAAGCAUCCGUAGCCGGCUUUGUAAGUUUUCGGUUAAAUCCAUGUGCUCAACGCAUGGGCUGCCGAAAAUACUGCAUGGCUAGGGAGUGGGAGAGGUAGACGGUACUCAGUAGGUAGGGGUAAAAUCCUUUGAUCUAUUGAUGACCACCUGUGGCGAAGGCGGUCUACCAGAACACGUUCGACGGUGAGGGAUGAAAGCUGGGGGAGCAAACCGGAUUAGAUACCCGGGUAGUCCCAGCUGUAAACGAUGCAGACUAGAUGAUGCAUUGGCAUAAUAGCCAUUGCAGUGUCUCAGGGAAGCCGUUAAGUCUGCCGCCUGGGAAGUACGUACGCAAGUAUGAAACUUAAAGGAAUUGGCGGGGGAGCACCACAAGGGGUGAAGCCUGCGGUUCAAU
RNAcentral lists this ribosomal RNA (805 nucleotides) under uncultured marine group I thaumarchaeote. RNAcentral describes it as "SSU rRNA". It matches the Rfam family "Archaeal small subunit ribosomal RNA", at positions 101 to 906 of the family's 1478-position model. Lineage: Archaea; Thermoproteati; Nitrososphaerota. The record is from RNAcentral.